UUGACCUCGAAUCAGGUAGGAAUACCCGCUGAACUUAAGCAUAUCAAUAAGCGGAGGAAAAGAAACCAACCGGGAUUACCUYAGUAACGGCKAGUGAWGCGGUAACAGCUCAAAUUUGAAAUCUGGCUCCUUCGGAGUCCGAGUUGUAAUUUGUAGAAGAUGCUUUGGGUUGUGGGCUCGGCCUAAGUUCCUUGGAACAGGACGUCAUAGAGGGUGAGAAUCCCGUAUGUGGCCAUGGCCCGCGCCUAUGUAAAGCUCUUUCGACGAGUCGAGUUGUUUGGGAAUGCAGCUCAAAAUGGGUGGUAAAUUUCAUCUAAAGCUAAAUAUGGGCCAGAGACCGAUAGCGCACAAGUAGAGUGAUCGAAAGAUGAAAAGCACUUUGGAAAGAGAGUUAAACAGUACGUGAAAUUGUUGAAAGGGAAGCGCUUGCAACCAGACUUGGGCGCUGCCGAUCACCCCGAGUUCUCUCGGGUGCACUCGACAGCGCACAGGCCAGCAUCGGUUCGGGUGGCUGGAUAAAGGCCGUAGGAAUGUAGCUCUCUUCGGGGAGUGUUAUAGCCCACGGUGCCAUGCAGCCCAGCCGGACCGAGGACCGCGCCUUCGGGCUAGGAUGCUGGCGUAAUGGUUGUAAGCGACCCGUCUUGAAACACGGACCAAGGAGUCUAACAUCUAUGCGAGUGUUUGGGCGUUAAACCCAUACGCGGAAUGAAAGUGAACGUAGGUGAGAACCCCUUUGGGGCGCAUCAUCGACCGAUCCUGAUGUCUUCGGAUGGAUUUGAGUAAGAGCAUAGC
This 792-nucleotide ribosomal RNA is filed under the name Erysiphe euphorbiae. RNAcentral's name for it is "eukaryotic LSU rRNA". It matches the Rfam family "Eukaryotic large subunit ribosomal RNA", at positions 1 to 806 of the family's 3401-position model. The record is from RNAcentral. Lineage: Eukaryota; Fungi; Ascomycota; Leotiomycetes; Helotiales; Erysiphaceae.